This 468-nucleotide ribosomal RNA is filed under the name uncultured bacterium. Its description in RNAcentral is "partial 16S ribosomal RNA". It matches the Rfam family "Bacterial small subunit ribosomal RNA", at positions 28 to 507 of the family's 1533-position model. The record is from RNAcentral.
GACGAACGCUGGCGGCGUGCUUAACACAUGCAAGUCGAACGGAAAGGCCCUGCUUUUGUGGGGUGCUCGAGUGGCGAACGGGUGAGUAACACGUGAGUAACCUGCCCUUGACUUUGGGAUAACUUCAGGAAACUGGGGCUAAUACCGGAUAGGAGCUCCUGCUGCAUGGUGGGGGUUGGAAAGUUUCGGCGGUUGGGGAUGGACUCGCGGCUUAUCAGCUUGUUGGUGGGGUAGUGGCUUACCAAGGCUUUGACGGGUAGCCGGCCUGAGAGGGUGACCGGCCACAUUGGGACUGAGAUACGGCCCAGACUCCUACGGGAGGCAGCAGUGGGGAAUAUUGCAGAAUGGGCGGAAGCCUGAGGCAGCAACGCCGCGUGCGGGAUGACGGCCUUCGGGUUGUAAACCGCUUUCGCCUGUGACGAAGCGUGAGUGACGGUAAUGGGUAAAGAAGCACCGGCUAACUACGUG